Molecule: long non-coding RNA, 635 nt
Organism: Limulus polyphemus (Atlantic horseshoe crab)
Lineage: Eukaryota; Metazoa; Arthropoda; Merostomata; Xiphosura; Limulidae
Exons: 3
Source: RefSeq, a predicted model, not a curated record
UAUAUUCAUUCUUAAGACUUACCACGAUAUUUUCAAGCCACUUGCCAACCAUUAUAAAAAACUGAACUUAUUAUCAUUUUUAUUGACAGUGAAAGAAGAUAUGACAAAGGAAAGUAUACAUUUAUGAAACUAUAUUUGUCAUGAUAAUAAUCUAAUGUGAGAAUGUUUACACAAGACGAUUCGUUUAUUUGCUUGUAAUUAAGCACAAAGCUACACAGUGGAAUAUCUGUGCUCUGCAGAGAAAACUAAUGGCUUCCAAGAAACUUAUCCUAUACUAUUUAGGUUUGUUUGUUUGCAGUUAAGCACAAAGCUAUACGAUGGGCUAUCUGUGCUUUGCCCACUACGAGUUUCGCUGCGUCACUGGGGGGCUACUCUGUUCCCUUACAGUUUCAGAAAAGCAUCAAGUGUACGAAUAUAAGGUAAAGUUCGAGUUGGCUUGAAGACAGCUACACUGCAAGACUGACCACCUUCAGCAAAGUUGGGGCGUGAUAGACUUCGAAGAAAAUCUUUUGUACAAAUAAUAAUAAAAAAAUGAAUGAAACAGAAGAUCUCACUAUCACGUUAUUCUACUACACAAGAUAUUCUGUUUAGCUUAGAGAUAAUUAAUCACUCUGUAGAAAUCAAAGAAUGAUAUU